CGGUAAGGCCUUUCGGGGUACACGAGCGGCGAACGGGUGAGUAACACGUGGGUGAUCUGCCCUGCACUUCGGGAUAAGCCUGGGAAACUGGGUCUAAUACCGGAUAUGACCUCCUAUCGCAUGGUGGGUGGUGGAAAGAUUUAUCGGUGCAGGAUGGACCCGCGGCCUAUCAGCUUGUUGGUGGGGUAAUGGCCUACCAAGGCGACGACGGGUAGCCGACCUGAGAGGGUGACCGGCCACACUGGGACUGAGACACGGCCCAGACUCCUACGGGAGGCAGCAGUGGGGAAUAUUGCACAAUGGGCGAAAGCCUGAUGCAGCGACGCCGCGUGAGGGAUGACGGCCUUCGGGUUGUAAACCUCUUUCAGCAGGGACGAAGCGCAAGUGACGGUACCUGCAGAAGAAGCACCGGCUAACUACGUGCCAGCAGCCGCGGUAAUACGUAGGGUGCAAGCGUUGUCCGGAAUUACUGGGCGUAAAGAGUUCGUAGGCGGUUUGUCGCGUCGUUUGUGAAAACCAGCAGCUCAACUGCUGGCUUGCAGGCGAUACGGGCAGACUUGAGUACUGCAGGGGAGACUGGAAUUCCUGGUGUAGCGGUGAAAUGCGCAGAUAUCAGGAGGAACACCGGUGGCGAAGGCGGGUCUCUGGGCAGUAACUGACGCUGAGGAACGAAAGCGUGGGUAGCGAACAGGAUUAGAUACCCUGGU
RNAcentral lists this ribosomal RNA (707 nucleotides) under Rhodococcus sp. SBR1A. Its description in RNAcentral is "bacterial SSU rRNA". It matches the Rfam family "Bacterial small subunit ribosomal RNA", at positions 67 to 791 of the family's 1533-position model. The record is from RNAcentral. Lineage: Bacteria; Bacillati; Actinomycetota; Actinomycetes; Mycobacteriales; Nocardiaceae.